This 1057-nucleotide long non-coding RNA is filed under the name Setaria viridis. Its description in RNAcentral is "long non-coding RNA (SVIR_LNC005965)". The record is from RNAcentral. Lineage: Eukaryota; Viridiplantae; Streptophyta; Magnoliopsida; Poales; Poaceae.
UUUUGUUCUUUUCAUCUUGUAGUGCUAAUAUUUCAGCUUGGUGACUACACUUCGCCUCUUCCAGUUGCAUCUUCAACCGUGAGUUACUAUUUUGUAGGUCUUCAUUAGCAAGCUGCAGAACAGAAAUUUGUUCAACUGCCUGCUCUAACUGAGCUCCUAAGGUCUUCACUGAAUCAUUUGACUGAUGUAAGCUGUUAAUGGCCUCUUCCUUCUCUCCUUGUAGCACAAUGAUCUCAUCUUGCAGAUUAGUCCUUAUCUCUUCAAGUUGCUUGUGUAACCUAGAAUUUGUACUCUGCAGCUCUUCAUUUUCUCGCUGGAAAAGUAAAAUUUGGUUUUGCUGCUGUACCAUGUCACUUUGAAGUUCCUUGAUGUUAGCCUCUGAUUGCUGUAACUGAGCGAGUGCUGCAUUUUUCUCUGCUUGCAGUGCCAUAACCUCAUUAUACAGAUCAGUCUUUCCUGCUUCGAGGUCUUUGUUGGCCUCCUGAAGUUUUGAAAUCUCUUGGACUUGUUGUUCUAACUUGCUCUCAAGAUUAAUAACUGAAGUAGCAGCUUCAUUUUUUUGUCCUUGUAAUUCAACAAUUUCAUUAUGCAGGUUAGAAUUUGCAAGCUCCAGGCCUUCAUUAGUCUUCUGCAUAUCUGAAAUCCUCUCAAGUUGUUUUGCUAGCUCAGUCUUAAGAUUCAUCAAAGAAGCCUCUAGCUGCUCUAUCUCUGACAUGGCAGAAUCAUUAUCCUUCUGUAGCUCGGCAAUAUUACUUACAAGAAUCUUGAUAGAAGCCUCAGACUGCUGCAGAUCUGAAAUUAUUUUGUUCUUUUCAUCUUGUAGUGCUAAUAUUUCAGCUUGGUGACUCUUCGCCUCUUCUAGUUGCAUCUUCAACCGUGAGUUAAUAUUUUGUAGGUCUUCAUUAGCAAGUUGUAGAACAUAAAUUUGUUCAACUUGCUGCUCUAACUGAACUCCUAAGGUCUUGACUGAAUCAUUUGACUGAUGUAAGCUGUUAAUGGCCUCUUCCUUCACUCCUUGUAGCACAAUGAUCUCAUCUUGCAGAGUAGUCCUUAUCUC